This 394-nucleotide ribosomal RNA is filed under the name Arthrobacter agilis. Its description in RNAcentral is "bacterial SSU rRNA". It matches the Rfam family "Bacterial small subunit ribosomal RNA", at positions 68 to 463 of the family's 1533-position model. Lineage: Bacteria; Bacillati; Actinomycetota; Actinomycetes; Micrococcales; Micrococcaceae. The record is from RNAcentral.
GAUGAACCUCACUUGUGGGGGGAUUAGUGGCGAACGGGUGAGUAACACGUGAGUAACCUGCCCUUGACUCUGGGAUAAGCCUGGGAAACCGGGUCUAAUACUGGAUACGACCUUCUGGCGCAUGCCAUGUUGGUGGAAAGCUUUUGUGGUUUUGGAUGGACUCGCGGCCUAUCAGCUUGUUGGUGGGGUAAUGGCCUACCAAGGCGACGACGGGUAGCCGGCCUGAGAGGGUGACCGGCCACACUGGGACUGAGACACGGCCCAGACUCCUACGGGAGGCAGCAGUGGGGAAUAUUGCACAAUGGGCGCAAGCCUGAUGCAGCGACGCCGCGUGAGGGAUGAAGGCCUUCGGGUUGUAAACCUCUUUCAGUAGGGAAGAAGCCGGCCUUUGUGU